This 1109-nucleotide ribosomal RNA is filed under the name uncultured euryarchaeote. Its description in RNAcentral is "bacterial SSU rRNA". It matches the Rfam family "Archaeal small subunit ribosomal RNA", at positions 282 to 1406 of the family's 1478-position model. Lineage: Archaea; Methanobacteriati; Methanobacteriota. The record is from RNAcentral.
AGCGGAGCCCGAGAUGGGUACUGAGACAACGACCCAGGCUACGAGCGCAGCAGCGCGAAACUCGCAAUAACACGAAAGUGUGACGGGUACCAAAGUGUUCAAUUUUGAACUGUGGUAGGUGAGUAAUGUUCCCUACUAGAAAGGAGAGGGCAAGGCUGGUGCCAGCCGCCGCGGUAAAACCAGCUCUUCAAGUGGUCGGGAUAAUUAUUGGGCUUAAAGUGUCCGUAGCCGGUUUAGUAAGUUCCUGGUAAAAUCGGGUAGCUUAACUAUCUAUAUGCUAGGAAUACUACUAUACUAGAGGGCGGGAGAGGUCUGAGGUACUACAGGGGUAGGGGUGAAAUCUUAUAAUCCUUGUUGGACCACCAGUGGCGAAGGCGUCAGACUGGAACGCGCCUGACGGUGAGGGACGAAAGCCAGGGGAGCGAACCGGAUUAGAUACCCGGGUAGUCCUGGCCGUAAACGAUGCAUACUAGGUGAUGGCACGGCCAUGAGCCGUGUCAGUGCCGUAGGGAAACCGUUAAGUGUGCCGCCUGGGAAGUACGGUCGCAAGGCUAAAACUUAAAGGAAUUGGCGGGGGAGCACCACAAGGGGUGAAGCCUGCGGUUCAAUUGGACUCAACGCCGGAAAACUUACCAGGGGAGACAGCAGUAUGACGGUCAGGUUGACGACCUUACCUAACGAGCUGAGAGGAGGUGCAUGGCCGUCGCCAGUUCGUGCCGUGAGGUAUCCUGUUAAGUCAGGCAACGAACGAGAUCCGCACCUUUAUUUGCCACCAAGAAGUCACGACUUCGUUGGGAACACUAAAGGGACCGCCGUCGAUAAGACGGAGGAAGGAGCGGGCAAAGGCAGGUCAGUAUGCCCCGAAACCCCUGGGCUACACGCGGGCUGCAAUGGUAUGAACAAUGGGCUGUGACUCCGAAAGGAGAAACCAAUCCCGAAAUCAUAUCUCAGUUGGAAUUGUCGGCUGUAACCCGCCGACAUGAACGCGGAAUCCCUAGUAAUCGUGUGUCAUCAACGCACGGUGAAUACGUCUCUGCUCCUUGCACACACCGCCCGUCGCUCCAUCCGAGUGUGCUAAAAAUGAGGUUUGGUCAAUUUGGUCAUAUCGA